GUGAUGCUGUCGGGGCCCGGCUAGCCCCAGAGCAGCCUCCGGCUCCCCAUAUUCUUGCCCCAAAAUGGCUACUGCCAUUCCCUUCACACAGGAGGACACUAUAACGCAGCACGAUUUGAUUUUUUGCCCAGCGUCCUGCGAGCAGAAAGCGGCAGAGCCAAGAUUUGAACCAGGUUUAUCUGGACCCAAAACCAUGGCUUCUGGAAGCUGAAUUAGAGGGUUAGGUCUGUGAGAUCCAGUGCUGAGUUGAUCUGCAGGAUAAUCACAUUUUGUGGACGUGUGUGGUGUGUGUGUGUACACGGCAUGUGGUUUAUGUGUGGCGCGGGUGGACUGAGGUAUGGAUGUGUUAUGUGGAGUGUGAGAAGUGUAUGUGUGGUGCAUACGUGGUAUGUGUGUGGUAGAUGGCGGGUAAUGCAGCGCGUCGUGUGCUGUGUGUGUGGUGCGGUACAUGUGUCACAUGUGGUGUGGAGUGUGUGUACAGUGUGUGUGUGACGCGUAGCGUGGGAGGUGUGUGCUGCAUGGUGUGCAGUGCAGUGUGUCCUAUGUGGUGUGUGUGCGUGUGGUGUGGUAUAUGUGGCGCGUGUGGUGGGUGCGUGUGGUGGGUGCAUGUGGCCCGUGUGGUGUGGCGUGUGUGGUGGGUGCAUGUGGUAUGGCCCGUGUGGUGGGUGCGUGUGGCCCGUGUGGUGUGGCGCAUGUGGCGCAUGUGGUGUGGCCCGUGUGGUGGGUGCGUGUGGCCCGUGUGGUGUGGCGCGUGUGGUGGGUGCAUGUGGUGGGUGCGUGUGGCCUGUGGGGUGGGCGUGCGUGGCGCAUGCGUCCUAGGGACAGUCUUCAAUCUACCCGCUUGGAAAGCUCAAGCCGCAGGGGCUUCUGGGAAGCACUUGGCUUUGGAACCGGGCAAAGGUCCGUGGAGCAGCCCAGCCGAGGCCCAGCCCUGCCGCGGCCGUGACAGACAAGCGACCUGCUGGGAGUCUGCGCCUCGUGCGUCAAAGAGGGUGAAGGAAGGUCCGCCGAGCGCCUGGNCCGAGGCCCAGCCCUGCCCGGCCCAGCCCUGCCGCGGCCGUGACAGACAAGCGACCUGCUGGCAGUCUGCGCCUCGUGCGUCAAAGAGGGUGAAGGAAGGUCCGCCGAGCGCCUGGCGGUCGCCGGCCCGUGUCCCUCCCGUCGGCUCCCGGUGGCCGCACCUCCCGCCGCCUCGGCGCACCCGGACUACACGCCGUGCCUGGCCUCGGGGCUGCCCAGCGCGUGGGCCGGAGCGAGCUGCAGCCUGCGGCAGGGUUUCCAAAUUGUACAUGCUUUGGGCAUCACAAGCCUGGACCCACCACGGCCUGCCUACCUCCUUUCGGAAACACAAUCUCUGAAUUCAGCACCAACACUGAGCACCAAAGUCUACUUUUGGAACCCGAGCUUCCCAGAGACAGCCAACUGCACAGAGGCCCAGAGCCAGUGAGAAGCCAUAAGCCUCUUGAGUCAGCCCUGGAACAUCCAGCCCUUGACCGUGAUGAACAUGUAAGGUGAACAUUCUGCCUCAGUGCUGAGCAAUGGCAGAAGGCGGUCACCACACCGUCUGACGCAGCUCUGCCUUCCACCCCUUUCGAAGCCUGACACCCAGUGGGUGCUUGGACGCUUGUGGAAUUCUUGUCAUGGACAAAACAUUGAGCUAAAUUUGAACUCCAGUCUGGUGCGGGUGUGCGCUCAAGUCUUUUUAAGACUGUCUUCGGGCUAUAAAAAACAAAAUAAAUG
This is a long non-coding RNA of Vulpes vulpes (red fox), 1740 nucleotides long. The record is from Ensembl. NCBI's taxonomy places the organism in Eukaryota, Metazoa, Chordata, Mammalia, Carnivora, Canidae.